AGAGGCUUCAAGCACUAAGGACUGCUAAUCCCUACCCCCGUGGUUAA
Molecule: transfer RNA, 47 nt
Filed under: Corydoras geoffroy
Lineage: Eukaryota; Metazoa; Chordata; Actinopteri; Siluriformes; Callichthyidae
Also listed under: 3 other names
Description: partial tRNA-Ser
Source: RNAcentral